UAAUACGUAGGGUGCAAGCGUUGUCCGGAAUUAUUGGGCGUAAAGAGCUCGUAGGCGGUUUGUCGCGUCUGCUGUGAAAAUCCGAGGCUCAACCUCGGACCUGCAGUGGGUACGGGCAGACUAGAGUGCGGUAGGGGAGAAGGGAAUUCCUGGUGUAGCGGUGGAAUGCGCAGAUAUCAGGAGGAACACCAAUGGCGAAGGCACUUCUCUGGGCCGUAACUGACGCUGAGGAGCGAAAGCGUGGGGAGCGAACAGGAUUAGAUACCCUGGUAGUCCACGCCGUAAACGGUGGGUGCUAGUUGUGGGUCACAUUCCACGUGAUCCGUGACGCAGCUAACGCAUUAAGCACCCCGCCUGGGGAGUACGGUCGCAAGACUAAAACUCAAAGGAAUUGACGGGGGCCCGCACAAGCAGCGGAGCAUGCGGAUUAAUUCGAUGCAACGCGAAGAACCUUACCAAGACUUGACAUAUAGAGGAAAACUGCAGAAAUGUAGU
Molecule: ribosomal RNA, 495 nt
Filed under: uncultured Microcella sp.
Lineage: Bacteria; Bacillati; Actinomycetota; Actinomycetes; Micrococcales; Microbacteriaceae
Description: bacterial SSU rRNA
Rfam family: Bacterial small subunit ribosomal RNA
Source: RNAcentral